UGAACGGGUACAUGANGUGCUUGCACUUCAUGCACNUACUGGCGGACGUGNCGAGUAAUGGUAUGGGGCAUCUGCCGAANUGUGAGGGGGACAACAGUUGGCAAACGACUGCUAAUACCGCNUANUGUUGAUANACCAUUNGCAUGGGACCUUCAGGCCAUGCUCCNUUUGAUGAACCCAUAUGGGAUUACCUAGAUUGGUACGGUAAAGGCUUACCAAGGCNACGAUCUCUAGCUGGUCUGACAGGAUGACCAGCCACACUGGAACUGAGACACGGUCCANACUCCUACGGGAGGCAGCAGUGGGGAAUAUUGCACNNUGNGGGAAACCCUGAUGCAGCCAUGCCGCGAGUAUGAAGAAGGCCUUCUGGUUGUAAAGUACUUUCGGUAAUGACGAAGGUGNUGUAUCUANUANGUGCAUCAAUUGACGUUAAUUACAGAANAAGCACCGGCUAACUCCGUGCCACCANCCGCNNCANUACUGANGGUGCGANCGUUAAUCUGAAUGACUGGGCGUAAGGGGCAUGUAUGCGGAUAAUUAAGUUAGGUGUGAAAGCCCUGGGCUCAACCUACGAAUUGCNCUUANNACUGGUUAACUAG
This 599-nucleotide ribosomal RNA is filed under the name Gilliamella apis. RNAcentral's name for it is "partial 16S ribosomal RNA". It matches the Rfam family "Bacterial small subunit ribosomal RNA", at positions 63 to 644 of the family's 1533-position model. Lineage: Bacteria; Pseudomonadati; Pseudomonadota; Gammaproteobacteria; Orbales; Orbaceae. The record is from RNAcentral.